CGUGCGCUCUGUGCCUGAUUCAGAUCCUUGCCAUGUCUUCUCACAUGACUUUCAGAAUCAAGCUAUUCCUGGCAAAGAAACAAAAGCAAAAUCGUCCUAUUCCUCAAUGGAUUCAGAUGAAAACUGGUAACAAAAUCAGGUUCAACUCUAAGAGAAGACACUGGAGGAGUACGAAGCUGGGUCUGUAAGGAGUCACACAAUGGCAAGAACGAGGGUUUAUACUGAAGUGCGACGGUCGAUCAGUCUGGCCAGAUGGAUUUCAACAUUUUUAACCUGGAGACUUGCUUGUGUCUGAAUUAGAGUGUUU
RNAcentral lists this long non-coding RNA (307 nucleotides) under Rattus norvegicus (Norway rat). RNAcentral's name for it is "long non-coding RNA NONRATT031180". The record is from RNAcentral. Lineage: Eukaryota; Metazoa; Chordata; Mammalia; Rodentia; Muridae.